Mycena epipterygia is the source of this 93-nucleotide non-coding RNA. Lineage: Eukaryota; Fungi; Basidiomycota; Agaricomycetes; Agaricales; Mycenaceae. The record is from the annotation of a GenBank genome assembly.
GACCCAGUGGUGAAACGAAUCACACCUGCCUUGCAUAAACAUGCUGGCAGAACAUGUUGGCAGGAACUCCCGGUUCGAGUCCGGGCUGGGUCA